CUUCAACGACCCGAGCCACAGGGGGCGUUCGGCGUCGCGGCCCUGUCCGUACGUGGCGAGGAUCGCCUGUGCCUC
RNAcentral lists this antisense RNA (75 nucleotides) under Streptomyces alboflavus. Its description in RNAcentral is "ASpks TB sRNA". It matches the Rfam family "ASpks TB sRNA". The record is from Rfam by way of RNAcentral. Lineage: Bacteria; Bacillati; Actinomycetota; Actinomycetes; Kitasatosporales; Streptomycetaceae.